Molecule: ribosomal RNA, 379 nt
Filed under: uncultured microorganism
Description: bacterial SSU rRNA
Rfam family: Bacterial small subunit ribosomal RNA
Source: RNAcentral
GCGCACCAGGCGCGAAUCUUCCACAAUGGGGAAACCCUGAUGGAGCGACGCCGCGUGCGGGAUGAAGGCCCUAUGGGUUGUAUACCGCUGUUCAGUGGAAAGAACAUCCUCCGGCUGAAUAGGUCGGAGGCCUGACGUUACCACUGCAGAAAGUCCCGGCCAACUCCGUGCCAGCAGCCGCGGUAAUACGGGGGGGACGAGCGUUGUCCGGAAUCAUUGGGCGUAAAGGGCGCGUAGGCGGCGAGGAAAGUCGAAUGUGAAAUCUUGCGGCUCAACUGCAAAACUGCGUUCGAAAACUUCCUCGCUUGAGUAUGAGAGAGGUGUGCGGAAUUCCUGGUGUAGCGGUGGAAUGCGUAGAUAUCAGGAGGAACACCGGUGG